This 786-nucleotide ribosomal RNA is filed under the name uncultured archaeon. RNAcentral's name for it is "bacterial SSU rRNA". It matches the Rfam family "Archaeal small subunit ribosomal RNA", at positions 85 to 876 of the family's 1478-position model. The record is from RNAcentral.
ACUGCUCAGUAACACGUGGACAACCUACCCUAUGGAGGGGGAUAACCCCGGGAAACUGGGGAUAAUACCCCAUAGGCUAUGGAUGCUGGAAUGCUCUGUAGUCGAAAGGUCCGCCGCCAUAGGAUGGGUCUGCGGCCGAUUAGGUUGUUGUUGGGGUAACGGCCCAACAAGCCUGUAAUCGGUACGGGUUGUGGGAGCAAGAGCCCGGAGAUGGAUUCUGAGACACGAAUCCAGGCCCUACGGGGCGCAGCAGGCGCGAAAACUUUACAAUGCGGGAAACCGUGAUAGGGGAACUCUGAGUGCCCGUUAAAUCGGGCUGUCCAUCAGUUUAAAUAACUGGUGAAGAAAGGGCCGGGCAAGACCGGUGCCAGCCGCCGCGGUAAUACCGGCGGCUCGAGUGGUGGCCACUAUUACUGGGCUUAAAGCGUUCGUAGCUGGCUUGUUAAGUCUCUGGGGAAAUCUUCCGGCUCAACCGGAAGGCGUCUCAGGGAUACUGGCAGGCUAGGGACCGGGAGAGGUGAGAGGUACUCCAGGGGUAGGAGUGAAAUCCUGUAAUCCUUGGGGGACCACCUGUGGCGAAGGCGUCUCACCAGAACGGCUCCGACAGUGAGGGACGAAAGCUGGGGGAGCAAACCGGAUUAGAUACCCGGGUAGUCCCAGCUGUAAACGAUGCACGUUAGGUGUAUCGGUGACCACGAGUCACCGAGGUGCCGAAGAGAAAUCGUGAAACGUGCCGCCUGGGAAGUACGGUCGCAAGGCUGAAACUUAAAGGAAUUGGCGGGGGAG